GCGAACGGGUGAGUAACACGUGGGUGAUCUGCCCUGCACUUCGGGAUAAGCCUGGGAAACUGGGUCUAAUACCGGAUAUGACCAAGGACUGCAUGGUUUUUGGUGGAAAGGUUUACUGGUGCAGGAUGAGCCCGCGGCCUAUCAGCUUGUUGGUGGGGUAAUGGCCUACCAAGGCGACGACGGGUAGCCGGCCUGAGAGGGCGACCGGCCACACUGGGACUGAGACACGGCCCAGACUCCUACGGGAGGCAGCAGUGGGGAAUAUUGCACAAUGGGCGAAAGCCUGAUGCAGCGACGCCGCGUGAGGGAUGACGGCCUUCGGGUUGUAAACCUCUUUCAGCAGGGACGAAGCGCAAGUGACGGUACCUGCAGAAGAAGCACCGGCCAACUACGUGCCAGCAGCCGCGGUAAUACGUAGGGUGCGAGCGUUGUCCGGAAUUACUGGGCGUAAAGAGCUCGUAGGCGGUUUGUCGCGUCGUCUGUGAAAACCCGCAGCUCAACUGCGGGCUUGCAGGCGAUACGGGCAGACUUGAGUACUGCAGGGGAGACUGGAAUUCCUGGUGUAGCGGUGAAAUGCGCAGAUAUCAGGAGGAACACCGGUGGCGAAGGCGGGUCUCUGGGCAGUAACUGACGCUGAGGAGCGAAAGCGUGGGUAGCGAACAGGAUUAGAUACCCUGGUAGUCCACGCCGUAAACGGUGGGCCGCUAGGUGUGGGUUUCCUU
RNAcentral lists this ribosomal RNA (722 nucleotides) under Rhodococcus sp. IBT2679-B03. Its description in RNAcentral is "bacterial SSU rRNA". It matches the Rfam family "Bacterial small subunit ribosomal RNA", at positions 98 to 833 of the family's 1533-position model. The record is from RNAcentral. Lineage: Bacteria; Bacillati; Actinomycetota; Actinomycetes; Mycobacteriales; Nocardiaceae.